RNAcentral lists this ribosomal RNA (470 nucleotides) under uncultured bacterium. RNAcentral's name for it is "bacterial SSU rRNA". It matches the Rfam family "Bacterial small subunit ribosomal RNA", at positions 30 to 497 of the family's 1533-position model. The record is from RNAcentral.
AUUGAACGCUGGCGGCAUGCCUUACACAUGCAAGUCGAACGGCAGCGCGGGGCAACCUGGCGGCGAGUGGCGAACGGGUGAGUAAUAUAUCGGAACGUGCCCUGGAGUGGGGAUAACGUAGCGAAAGUUACGCUAAUACCGCAUACGAUCCAAGGAUGAAAGCAGGGGACCUUCGGGCCUUGUGCUCCUGGAGCGGCCGAUAUCUGAUUAGCUAGUUGGUGGGGUAAAAGCCUACCAAGGCGACGAUCAGUAGCUGGUCUGAGAGGACGACCAGCCACACUGGAACUGAGACACGGUCCAGACUCCUACGGGAGGCAGCAGUGGGGAAUUUUGGACAAUGGGGGGCAACCCUGAUCCAGCAAUGCCGCGUGUGUGAAGAAGGCCUUCGGUUGUAAGCACUUUGUCAGGAACGAAACGGUUAGAGGUUAAUACCUUGGCGUAAUGACGGUACCUGAAGAAUAAGACACCGG